GGGAAGCCUGCUUCGAGAUGAGUAUUCCCACCUCCUUGAGAGGGUAAGGCUCCCAGUAGACGACUGGGUUGAUAGGCCGGAUCUGGAAGCCAGGUAACUGGUGGAGGUGACCGGUACUAAUAGGCCGAGGGCUUGUCCUCAGUUG
RNAcentral lists this ribosomal RNA (145 nucleotides) under Streptomyces sp. SID161. Its description in RNAcentral is "partial 23S ribosomal RNA". It matches the Rfam family "Bacterial large subunit ribosomal RNA", at positions 2787 to 2925 of the family's 2925-position model. The record is from RNAcentral. Lineage: Bacteria; Bacillati; Actinomycetota; Actinomycetes; Kitasatosporales; Streptomycetaceae.